GCUACGCACAUGUAUGCGGUAUGUUUAAAAACACACCAACGCUGCUACACCUGACACCCUGAGAAAGAACCACCACGAAAAUCUGAUCUGCUCAGGGGUGGUCUCUUUCCAGUCAUGAAUGAGCUGGCCAAUAUGUGUUGAUACAAGCUAAGUGCAACUCAGACGUGACUCUAGGGCUGUUUCAAUGUUGGAAAUGUUCUUGUUUGUUGGGAAAUUUACACUCUUUCUCACUUUCAGUAACAGUUUAAUCUGGUCAGAGUGAAAUAAACCGUUCAGGUCUGUGUACUUAUAGAAUAGAGCCUGUUGCUAGAUGAGGAAGUAAACUGUUAUUUAAGGUCAUACCUGAAGGUCAUGGCUGUUACACCUUGAUAAAAUGUGCGUGUGUCGCAAGUGGGGCAGCCGUAGACAGAGUAGAGCUGGGAAAGAAAGAACAAGUUCACAUUGAGAGAUUCUUCAAGCUUUCUUCUCCUACAGUAUAACACUAAGGCAAGGCAGAUUGUUCCAUUUUGAUUUACAGCAACCAGGUAUAUCUCAAUGACCUGGCGGACAUUUCUAGCCUCUUUAUUUUGAAUUCUCACACUAUCUCACUGGUGGAAAACUUUGGAAGUUGUCUCAAAAUAAAGGUCCAUAUUUGGAUUUUCUUCACUGAUUUCUUUCAUUUCGAUCUCUCACCGAUGGACGGAUCUGAACUCAGUCAUGAAUUUAGAAUUUCAGAACAUGCAAAUGGAAAAACGCCAGAAAAGAUUUGGUGAAUGUAAUUAGCACACGAGACAUCAGAAUAUAAUAAAGACCGGCAGUACGUGCAUGCCUUAUAGUUGAUAUUUA
This is a long non-coding RNA of Ictalurus punctatus (channel catfish), 825 nucleotides long. Lineage: Eukaryota; Metazoa; Chordata; Actinopteri; Siluriformes; Ictaluridae. The record is from Ensembl.